This 467-nucleotide ribosomal RNA is filed under the name uncultured bacterium. Its description in RNAcentral is "partial 16S ribosomal RNA". It matches the Rfam family "Bacterial small subunit ribosomal RNA", at positions 28 to 507 of the family's 1533-position model. The record is from RNAcentral.
GAUGAACGCUGACAGAAUGCUUAACACAUGCAAGUCCACUUGAAUUUGGGUUUUUAACUUAGGUUUGGGUGGCGGACGGGUGAGUAACGCGUAAAGAACUUGCCUCACAGCUAGGGACAACAUUUGGGAACGAAUGCUAAUACCUAAUAUUAUGAUAAUAGGGCAUCCUAUAAUUAUGAAAGCUAUAAGCGCUGUGAGAGAGCUUUGCGUCCCAUUAGCUAGUUGGAGAGGUAACGGCUCACCAAGGCGAUGAUGGGUAGCCGGCCUGAGAGGGUGAUCGGCCACAAGGGGACUGAGACACGGCCCUUACUCCUACGGGAGGCAGCAGUGGGGAAUAUUGGACAAUGGACCAAGAGUCUGAUCCAGCAAUUCUGUGUGCACGAUGAAGUUUUUCGGAAUGUAAAGUGCUUUCAGUUGGGAAGAAAGAAAUGACGGUACCAACAGAAGAAGUGACGGCUAAAUACGUG